UUACAGUUACGGCGACAUGGUCCCGGGCACCAUCGCGGGCAAGAUCGUGGGUGGAGUAUGCUCGCUGUCCGGAGUGCUGGUCAUUGCUCUACCGGUACCGGUUAUCGUCUCCAAC
Molecule: non-coding RNA, 115 nt
Organism: Bombyx mori (domestic silkworm)
Lineage: Eukaryota; Metazoa; Arthropoda; Insecta; Lepidoptera; Bombycidae
Source: Rfam